UACGUAGGGUGCGAGCGUUAAUCGGAAUUACUGGGCGUAGAGCGUGCGCAGGCGGAUUGUUAAGCAAGAUGUGAAAUCCCCGGGCUUAACCUGGGAAUGGCAUUUUGAACUGGCAGUCUAGAGUGUGUCAGAGGGGGGUGGAAUUCCACGUGUAGCAGUGAAAUGCGUAGAUAUGUGGAGGAACACCAAUGGCGAAGGCAGCCCCCUGGGAUAACACUGCCACUGUGGCGCGAAAGCGUGGGUAGCAAACAGG
RNAcentral lists this ribosomal RNA (253 nucleotides) under uncultured bacterium. Its description in RNAcentral is "partial 16S ribosomal RNA". It matches the Rfam family "Bacterial small subunit ribosomal RNA", at positions 524 to 776 of the family's 1533-position model. The record is from RNAcentral.